RNAcentral lists this ribosomal RNA (253 nucleotides) under uncultured bacterium. Its description in RNAcentral is "partial 16S ribosomal RNA". It matches the Rfam family "Bacterial small subunit ribosomal RNA", at positions 524 to 776 of the family's 1533-position model. The record is from RNAcentral.
GACGGAGGGAGCAAGCGUUGUUCGGAUUUACUGGGCGUAAAGGGCGUCUAGGCGGAUUGGUCAGUCAGGUGUGAAACCCCUCGGCUCAACCGGGGAUCUGCACUUGAUACUGCCAAUCUUGAGUAUGGAAGAGGAAAGCGGAAUUCCAGGUGUAGCGGUGAAAUGCGUAGAUAUCUGGAAGAACACCGGUGGCGAAGGCGGCUUUCUGGUCCAAUACUGACGCUAAAGCGCGAAAGUGUGGGGAGCAAACAGG